RNAcentral lists this ribosomal RNA (22 nucleotides) under Bipolaris heveae. RNAcentral describes it as "partial 28S ribosomal RNA". Lineage: Eukaryota; Fungi; Ascomycota; Dothideomycetes; Pleosporales; Pleosporaceae. The record is from RNAcentral.
CUCGGAUCAGGUAGGAUCCAGU